CCUACGGGUGCAGCAGUGGGGGAUAUUGCACAAUGGGGGGAACCCUGAUGCAGCGACGCCGCGUGGGUGAAGAAGCGCCUCGGCGCGUAAAGCCCUGUCAGCAGGGAAGAAAAUGACGGUACCUGAAGAAGAAGCCCCGGCUAACUACGUGCCAGCAGCCGCGGUAAUACGUAGGGGGCAAGCGUUAUCCGGAUUUACUGGGUGUAAAGGGGGCGCAGACGGCGAUGCAAGCCAGGAGUGAAAGCCCGGGGCCUAACCCCGGGACUGCUCUUGGAACUGCGUGGCUGGAGUGAAGGAGGGGCAGGCGGAAUUCCUGGUGUAGCGGUGAAAUGCGUAGAUAUCAGGAGGAAAACCGGUGGCGAAGGCGGCCUGCUGGACUGCAACUGACGUUGAGGCCCGAAAGCGUGGGGAGCAAACAGGAUUAGAUACCCGUGUAGUC
This 439-nucleotide ribosomal RNA is filed under the name uncultured bacterium. RNAcentral's name for it is "partial 16S ribosomal RNA". It matches the Rfam family "Bacterial small subunit ribosomal RNA", at positions 338 to 795 of the family's 1533-position model. The record is from RNAcentral.